ACCUGGGUGGCUCAGUCGGUUAAGCGUCUGACUCUUGGUUUUGGCUCAGGUCACGAUCUCAGAGUGUGUGGGUUCGAACCCCGCGCUGGGUU
RNAcentral lists this transfer RNA (92 nucleotides) under Felis catus (domestic cat). It matches the Rfam family "tRNA". Rfam says of the family: Transfer RNA (tRNA) molecules are approximately 80 nucleotides in length. Lineage: Eukaryota; Metazoa; Chordata; Mammalia; Carnivora; Felidae. The record is from Rfam by way of RNAcentral.